UAACCUACCCAUCAGAGGGGGAUAACACUUGGAAACAGGUGCUAAUACCGCAUAACAGUUUAUGCCGCAUAGCAUAAGAGUGAAAGGCGCUUUCGGGUGUCGCUGAUGGAUGGACCCGCGGUGCAUUAGCUAGUUGGUGAGGUAACGGCUCACCAAGGCCACGAUGCAUAGCCGACCUGAGAGGGUGAUCGGCCACACUGGGACUGAGACACGGCCCAG
This 219-nucleotide ribosomal RNA is filed under the name uncultured bacterium. Its description in RNAcentral is "partial 16S ribosomal RNA". It matches the Rfam family "Bacterial small subunit ribosomal RNA", at positions 122 to 334 of the family's 1533-position model. The record is from RNAcentral.